Eucalyptus grandis is the source of this 254-nucleotide long non-coding RNA. RefSeq lists it as uncharacterized. Lineage: Eukaryota; Viridiplantae; Streptophyta; Magnoliopsida; Myrtales; Myrtaceae. The record is from RefSeq and is a predicted model, not a curated record. The transcript has 3 exons.
GUUGCCGAUUUCAGGGGCUGGUUGGGUUCGCUCGAAUGACUGCCGGGGUCGACUGAUCUUGACAAGUGCUUACCAGGGGUUUGCACGACUCUAUCGAGCGCGACCAGUACUCCAUUCAUAGACCAUUAACGAUGUUCUCUUCGGGAUCAUAUCAUUCGGCUUGUUCAAAUACAUGGACCACCAGUCUCCCAAUGCCGUGCGGGAAGGGACUCGAAUAACGGGAGUGGCGAUUGUGAACUUGCGAGAACAACAGG